AUGAGCAGCAGUCAAUGAAUUAGGGAGGGGUUUCCCAUGUCCUGGAUCAGAAGAUGCCUCUGAGUCAUCAGCUGCAUCACUGGCUACACGAGCAGGAAGAAGACCAAGCUUGUGCAGUCUUAAGAUGCAAUCCAAGAUAUUUCUCCAGCCAGUACGGAUAAAAUCACCACAUUUGUUUGCUAUAGUGAAAACUGUAACAGUUGCCUUUCUUGCUUUCGCAUCAUCGCCAAAGGCUAAAACAGGUUCCUCCACCAAUGAGGGAUUCAACAGGGUUGUGAACUUACAUAGAGAUACCACUAGAUCAUCCAAGACAUCUUCAAGAUGAUGGCACGCCGAAAUCUUUGCAACAGCCAAGAAACCAUCAAUACAAGUCUGGUAGACAUCCUCAUGUUCAGCAUGAUCAAACACCACAGAGAUAGCAGCAAUAGUAGGGCCCGACAUUAUUGCAAACAUAUCAUGAUCAAGGUAGGCUUUAGAAUCACACAUGAUGUAUGGAGAAGU
This 501-nucleotide unclassified non-coding RNA is filed under the name Hevea brasiliensis (rubber tree). The record is from RNAcentral. Lineage: Eukaryota; Viridiplantae; Streptophyta; Magnoliopsida; Malpighiales; Euphorbiaceae.